UGCGUAGGUGGUUUUGUAAGCGCGGGGUGAAAGGCAAUAGCUCAACUAUUGUAAGCCCUGCGAACUGUGAGACUUGAGUGCAGGAGAGGAAAGUGGAAUUCCUAGUGUAGCGGUGAAAUGCGUAGAUAUUAGGAGGAACACCAGUGGCGAAGGCGACUUUCUGGACUGUAACUGACACUGAGGCACGAAAGCGUGGGGAGCAAACA
Molecule: ribosomal RNA, 206 nt
Filed under: uncultured Eubacteriales bacterium
Lineage: Bacteria; Bacillati; Bacillota; Clostridia; Eubacteriales
Description: uncultured Clostridiales bacterium partial 16S ribosomal RNA
Rfam family: Bacterial small subunit ribosomal RNA
Source: RNAcentral